Molecule: ribosomal RNA, 429 nt
Filed under: uncultured bacterium
Lineage: Bacteria
Also listed under: 2 other names
Description: bacterial SSU rRNA
Rfam family: Bacterial small subunit ribosomal RNA
Source: RNAcentral
UGGGGAAUAUUGGACAAUGGGCGCAAGCCUGAUCCAGCCAUGCCGCGUGGGUGAAGAAGGCCUUCGGGUUGUAAAGCCCUUUUGUUGGGAAAGAAAAGCAGCCGGCCAAUACCCGGUUGUUCUGACGGUACCCAAAGAAUAAGCACCGGCUAACUUCGUGCCAGCAGCCGCGGUAAUACGAAGGGUGCAAGCGUUACUCGGAAUUACUGGGCGUAAAGCGUGCGUAGGUGGUGGUUUAAGUCCGUUGUGAAAGCCCUGGGCUCAACCUGGGAACUGCAGUGGAUACUGGAUCACUAGAGUGUGGCAGAGGGUAGUGGAAUUCCCGGUGUAGCAGUGAAAUGCGUAGAGAUCGGGAGGAACAUCAGUGGCGAAGGCGACUGCCUGGGCCAACACUGACACUGAGGCACGAAAGCGUGGGGAGCAAACAGG